RNAcentral lists this ribosomal RNA (424 nucleotides) under uncultured bacterium. Its description in RNAcentral is "bacterial SSU rRNA". It matches the Rfam family "Bacterial small subunit ribosomal RNA", at positions 355 to 776 of the family's 1533-position model. The record is from RNAcentral.
UAAGGAAUAUUGGUCAAUGGGCGGAAGCCUGAACCAGCCAUGCCGCGUGCAGGAAGACGGCCCUACGGGUUGUAAACUGCUUUUAUACGGGAAUAAACCUCGAUACGUGUAUCGAGCUGAAUGUACUGUAAGAAUAAGGAUCGGCUAACUCCGUGCCAGCAGCCGCGGUAAUACGGAGGAUCCAAGCGUUAUCCGGAUUUAUUGGGUUUAAAGGGUGCGUAGGUGGCCUGUUAAGUCAGGGGUGAAAGACGGUAGCUCAACUAUCGCAGUGCCCUUGAUACUGAUGGGCUUGAAUACACUAGAGGUAGGCGGAAUGUGACAAGUAGCGGUGAAAUGCAUAGAUAUGUCACAGAACACCAAUUGCGAAGGCAGCUUACUAUGGUGUCAUUGACACUGAGGCACGAAAGCGUGGGGAUCAAACAGG